CUUGAAUUUUUUUUUCUCGCGCUCUGGUCUCAAGCUCGAGCUCGCGUUUUAAAGCUCAGAAGCUUGAAGCUCUCUUGUUCUUCUCUAUCUACAUCUCUCCACUUCUCUCUCAUCAGAAACCCUAGAAAUUGGGGCUUCUUCCAAUGUCAAACUCCAAUAUAGAGAAAAGUUGCUUCUCCUCCGGUCCUAGUACUGCUAGCCUAUAAUCUGAAUUUGGAAUUGUCAUUAUAUCAAGCAUUGGACCUCUGUCUCUGCUUCCAUAUCCUCAAGCUGGAAUGCUUCUGAUUCCACUCCAUGCCACUGGACACUCUGAUUUGGCCUUCUCUUGUCACCAUUAUAUAUAAUGUGCUC
Non-coding RNA from Prunus avium (sweet cherry), 351 nucleotides. NCBI's taxonomy places the organism in Eukaryota, Viridiplantae, Streptophyta, Magnoliopsida, Rosales, Rosaceae. The record is from RefSeq and is a predicted model, not a curated record.